AUUACUCCUACGGGAGGCAGCAGUGGGGAAUUUUGGACAAUGGGCGAAAGCCUGAUCCAGCCAUGCCGCGUGAGUGAUGAAGGCCUUCGGGUUGUAAAGCUCUUUUAGUCGGAAAGAAAAAGUCAUGACAAAUAAUCAUGAUUUAUGACGGUACCGACAGAAAAAGCACCGGCUAACUACGUGCCAGCAGCCGCGGUAAUA
Molecule: ribosomal RNA, 201 nt
Filed under: uncultured bacterium
Lineage: Bacteria
Description: partial 16S ribosomal RNA
Rfam family: Bacterial small subunit ribosomal RNA
Source: RNAcentral